RNAcentral lists this ribosomal RNA (450 nucleotides) under uncultured bacterium. RNAcentral describes it as "bacterial SSU rRNA". It matches the Rfam family "Bacterial small subunit ribosomal RNA", at positions 29 to 524 of the family's 1533-position model. The record is from RNAcentral.
AACGAACGCUGGCGGCAUGCCUAACACAUGCAAGUCGAACGAAGUCUUCGGACUUAGUGGCGCACGGGUGCGUAACGCGUGGGAAUCUGCCCUUGGGUGCGGAAUAACUUCUCGAAAGGGAUGCUAAUACCGCAUAAUGUCGUAAGACCAAAGAUUUAUCGCCCAAGGAUGAGCCCGCGUAAGAUUAGCUAGUUGGUGGGGUAAAAGCCUACCAAGGCGACGAUCUUUAGCUGGUCUGAGAGGAUGAUCAGCCACACUGGGACUGAGACACGGCCCAGACUCCUACGGGAGGCAGCAGUGGGGAAUAUUGGACAAUGGGCGAAAGCCUGAUCCAGCAAUGCCGCGUGAGUGAUGAAGGCCCUAGGGUUGUAAAGCUCUUUUGCCAGGGAAGAUGAUGACUGUACCUGGAGAAUAAGCCCCGGCUAACUUCGUGCCAGCAGCCGCGGUAAU